CGUGUAGGCGGACUGGAAAGUCGGGCGUGAAAGCCCCAGGCUCAACCUGGGAACUGCACUCGAAACUUCCAGCCUUGAGUGGUGGAGAGGGAAGUGGAAUUCCUGGUGUAGAGGUGAAAUUCGUAGAUAUCAGGAGGAACACCAGUGGCGAAGGCGGCUUCCUGGACACCAACUGACGCUGAGACGCGAAAGCGUGGGGAGCAAACA
This 207-nucleotide ribosomal RNA is filed under the name uncultured bacterium. RNAcentral describes it as "partial 16S ribosomal RNA". It matches the Rfam family "Bacterial small subunit ribosomal RNA", at positions 568 to 774 of the family's 1533-position model. The record is from RNAcentral.